UCACCAGAUAAGACAGACUGAAUGAUAGUCGGGCUGAAGACUCUACUUGACUAGCUGAGAGGAGGUGCAUGGCCGUCGUCAGUUCGUACUGUGAAGCAUCCUGUUAAGUCAGGCAACGAGCGAGACCCACGCCAACAGUUGCCAGCUCGUCCUCCGGGAUGGUGGGGACACUGUUGGGACCGCCUCUGCUAAAGAGGAGGAAGGAAUGGGCAACGGUAGGUCAGCAUGCCCCGAAUUAUCUGGGCUACACGCGGGCUACAAUGGGUGGGACAAUGGGUAUCGACACCGAAAGGUGAAGGCAAUCUCCUAAACCCAUCCGUAGUUCGGAUUGUGGGCUGCAACUCGCCCACAUGAAGCUGGAAUCUGUAGUAAUCGUGUCUCAAAAUGGCACGGUGAAUAUGUCCCUGCUCCUU
This 413-nucleotide ribosomal RNA is filed under the name uncultured Methanomicrobiales archaeon. RNAcentral's name for it is "bacterial SSU rRNA". It matches the Rfam family "Archaeal small subunit ribosomal RNA", at positions 927 to 1338 of the family's 1478-position model. The record is from RNAcentral. Lineage: Archaea; Methanobacteriati; Methanobacteriota; Methanomicrobia; Methanomicrobiales.